CCUACGGGUGGCUGCAGUGGGGAAUCUUGGACAAUGGGCGCAAGCCUGAUCCAGCCAUUCCGCGUGAGUGAAGAAGGCCUUCGGGUUGUAAAGCUCUUUCGCAAGGGAAGAAAACUUAUCCUCUAACAUAGGAUGAGGUUGACGGUACCUUGAUAAGAAGCACCGGCUAACUACGUGCCAGCAGCCGCGGUAAUACGUACGGUGCGAGCGUUAAUCGGAAUUACUGGGCGUGAAGUGUAAGCAGGAUGUGAAAUCCCCGGGCUCAACUUGGGAACUGCGUUUGAAACUACAAGACUAGAAUAGGUCAGAGGGAAGUAGAAUUCCACGUGUAGCAGUGAAAUGCGUAGAGAUGUGGAGGAAUAUCAAUGGCGAAGGCAGCCCCCUGGGAUCAUAUUGACGCUCAUGCACGAAAGCGUGGGGAGCAAACAGGAUUAGAUACCCUAGUAGUC
RNAcentral lists this ribosomal RNA (449 nucleotides) under uncultured bacterium. RNAcentral's name for it is "partial 16S ribosomal RNA". It matches the Rfam family "Bacterial small subunit ribosomal RNA", at positions 338 to 795 of the family's 1533-position model. The record is from RNAcentral.